This 632-nucleotide unclassified non-coding RNA is filed under the name Hevea brasiliensis (rubber tree). The record is from RNAcentral. Lineage: Eukaryota; Viridiplantae; Streptophyta; Magnoliopsida; Malpighiales; Euphorbiaceae.
CAGCUCCAUUCCGACCCGAAAAAAAAAGUGAACUUUCCGAUGUCUUCUCCUCCACCGGACGCCGGAACAGUCGCCGCCGUCACCGUCCGACCGUGGCCGUUAUUCAUAGAUAUAGCGGCCCUCAGCCUCCCAAUCUCAGUAUCCGAUGCAACUUAUCGGAUCAAUAAAAACCUCCGCUACUUCGCGGGUAAUUACGCGCUAAUCGUCCUCUCUAUCCUAUUAAUCUCCUUAAUUGUUCGGCCAAUUUUACUUGUGUUGUUCCUAAUCAUCUUUGUCGGUUGGAUUUACCUUUACUUCUCUCGUAAUGAACCUUUGGAGCUUUUUGGUUUCGAUGUGGAUGAUAAGUUGGUGUUAGGGUUUUUGACUUUGGUGACUCUUGUUGCGUUGCUGGUUGCUAAAAUUUGGAUGAACAUCUUCGUUUCGAUUGGCUUUGGAAUUGUGAUUAUGUGUGUCCACGGUUCACUUAGGGCUCCGGAAGAUCAGGAGGAUUCGCCUUAUGGUGCUUUGCUAUCGGAGAGUCCGAGAGGAAAUUAUUCUAUCGUUUGAAUUUUCAUGAUUGAUGUAGGUAAUUUUUUUCCUCAUUGGGAUGUGGUUGAAUUGUAGGAAAAACUUGAGUUGAUUAUUGUAACUAG